RNAcentral lists this ribosomal RNA (495 nucleotides) under uncultured bacterium. Its description in RNAcentral is "partial 16S ribosomal RNA". It matches the Rfam family "Bacterial small subunit ribosomal RNA", at positions 28 to 507 of the family's 1533-position model. The record is from RNAcentral.
GACGAACGCUGGCGGCGUGCCUAAUACAUGCAAGUAGAACGCUGAAGGAGGAGCUUGCUUCUCCGGAUGAGUUGCGAACGGGUGAGUAACGCGUAGGUAACCUGCCUGGUAGCUGGGGAUAACUAUUGGAAACGAUAGCUAAUACCGCAUAAGAGUAGAUGUCGCAUGACAUUUGCUUAAAAGGUGCAACUGCACCACUACCAGAUGGACCUGCGUUGUAUUAGCUAGUUGGUGAGGUAACGGCUCACCAAGGCAACGAUACAUAGCCGACCUGAGAGGGUGAUCGGCCACACUGGGACGGAGACACGGCCCAGACUCCUACGGGAGGCAGCAGUAGGGAAUCUGCGGCAAGGGACGGAAGACUGACCGAGAAACGCCGAGUGAGGGAAGAAGGGUGUCGGAUCGUAAAGGUCUGUUGUAAGAGAAGAAAGAGUGUGAGAGUGGAAAGUUCACAGUGUGACGGUAUCUUACCAGAAAGGGACGGCUAACUACGUG